This 69-nucleotide transfer RNA is filed under the name Heterocephalus glaber (naked mole-rat). It matches the Rfam family "tRNA". From Rfam's summary of the family: Transfer RNA (tRNA) molecules are approximately 80 nucleotides in length. Their secondary structure includes four short double-helical elements and three loops (D, anti-codon, and T loops). Lineage: Eukaryota; Metazoa; Chordata; Mammalia; Rodentia; Bathyergidae. The record is from Rfam by way of RNAcentral.
GGAGGCCUAGCUCAGUUGUAGAGCAUUUGCCUCAUAUGCAGGAGGCCCUUGGUUCACUUCCGGGCACCA